RNAcentral lists this long non-coding RNA (851 nucleotides) under Homo sapiens (human). Its description in RNAcentral is "non-protein coding lnc-THBS1-5:1". Lineage: Eukaryota; Metazoa; Chordata; Mammalia; Primates; Hominidae. The record is from RNAcentral.
AACUCUCUUUGUUUGAAAAGUGUAAGGGGACUAGUUUGUAGUAUCCCUAAAAAGGUUUGCAGAUCAAGAGUGGAACUGGGUUUCAAAGGCCCCAGGGCCUUUUCUUGUCCUGUUGCCUCUGCCUGGACCAUUUUCUGUCCUUCCUCUCUACUUCCUCUUCCCGGGCCAACUUUUAUUCCCUCUCCCAGUCUUUUGCUAACAGCCACUUCCUCAGGAAAGCUUUCCCCAGCCCCUGCGGCUAGGGCAGGUUGCCCCAUUACCCACUCUCAUCACACCCUGCACUUUGCCAGUGCAGCUGUCUUCAGUACUAUAAUUAAAUGAUGAUGUGUGCACAGCUAUUUGGACAAUGACUACCCAUAUUCAUUAGUCGUUGGGCAUUUUGUAAAUUAUCUUAUAAUUGAGCUAAUUGUAAUCUUUAAGCAGUAAUAUUACACAACAAAAACGUGUAUAAUUAUUAUUAAACUAAUAAUGUUGUCUCUCUGGCUAGAUAUUAACCUCCUUGAGGGCAGGGACUGCUUGGACCUGUAUGUAAUGGGGUGCCCAGUGCCUGAUACUGUGCCUAACACAUAGGUGGAGGUCAAAAUAUAUGUUGAAUAAAUCAAUGUAUGAGUUUGUCCAUGAGGGCAAUAAAGGGGAAAACGUAAGGGGAAAAGCAUCCAGAGAAUAGUUCCCACUGGUUUAGGCUAGACAAGCAAUGUACCAAUGUUUUGGUUGCCCCAGAGUCCCUAGUACGGAGCUAUUUCCUACAUCAUUCACCAUCCUGAGCACAGAGACCUUCUGAAGUCUUAUUCCAUUGUUGCCUUUAACAGCAAAGAAAAAAGAAACUUGGAAGCCAGCUCCCUGGAUGUACU